CAUGGUUUAUUAUUUUUUGAGACAGUCUCACUCUGUCGCUCAGGCUGAAGUGCAGUGUUAUGAUCUCAGCUCACUGCCACCUUUGCCUCCCUGGGUUGAAGUGAUUCUCCUGCCUCAGCCUCCUGAGUAGUUGGCAUUACAGGUGCACACUACCACACCUGGCUAACUUUUGUAUUUUUUGGCCAGACUGAUCUUGAACUCCUGACCUCAUGAUCCACCCACCAUGGCCUCCCAAAGUGCUGGGACUGCAGGCAUGAACCACUGUGCCUGACCCAUAGUUUUAUCCUAUCUGUUUAAAAAUGAAGAUUGAAAGAAUACAUAUGCAAAUAAGUUUACAUUUCUCUUUCUGUAAUACUUUGCUGUGUUGUCUGGGUAUUGACAAUCAAUAUGCAUUCUGAAGCUACAUGGCUAAUGUUGAGUACUCACUGUGUGUGCCAGGCCCUGGGCUCAAUGCUCUACAUGCGUUUUUAUUUCAUUUAAUUCUCUCCACAACCUGAGAUACUAUAGCCAACCCACUUUAGAGAGUUAGAACUGAGGCUCAGAGACUGAAAGUUAAAUGCCUGAGGUUGCAGUUAAUAAGAGGCAGAGCUGGAACUGAAGCCUACGUGUGCCUGACAACCAGUUCACGUUCUAAAACAGUAGGCUAGACUGCUUCACAGAGCAUGGAAUAAGAUGGUGCGUGCCUGCCAGGAUGGACUAGGUAUCACUGUAGGUAAUAAACAGCCCCAAACAAUGGAAAUGUACAACACUGAAGGCUCUUUGUCUGCUCAUGCUGCACAUCCUCCAUGGCUCUCCUGGGCCCUGUGCUCCACAUCACCUCAUCUGCCACCAGAAUAAAGGAGCAGCCUCCAUAUGGGACCUCGGUGGUUCUAAGAGAUGAAGGAAAGGGUGGCCAGUCUCAAUGGCUCCUAACUCUUUUGCCUCUAGGUGACACACUUCACUUCCACUCACAUCUCCUGAGUCAAAUCAAAUCCCAUAACUACCUCUACCUUCAGGGGGCCUAGAGGAGAACCUGAAAUACUCUGUGGACUCCAUUAAGGCCACCAUACAGUGUCAGCUGUAUGUGGGAGACUGUGGAGUGACAGAGGAGGAGAGCAGGGAAUUGAUGGGAAAUGACAGCAGGGCUGAGUCACUGUGCAUUUGCUUUAUCCUUUGCCAGGUAGAGUUUUCCCAGAGCUGCACAAAAUCAUCAGCAGCAUGAUCAAACAGGGUAAACUUCAGAAAAAGCAGUUUGUUCAGAUGUGGUCAGCAGUGAACUCGGAAGUCAACUGCGAGGCACUGAGUCAGUAAAGCUCUGACUGCCUCAGUUACCCCAUAUGAGAGUGGUGAAGAUGGCAGCAUUGAGAGAGUUGAUUUGGAAGGAUAUCAGGAGUGUGAACAUUCAACAUUUUAGUUCCUUUAAGUAAAAUCCAGGCACUAUCUUUCCUGCAAGUCUCCUGUUUCUUUCAGAUUGCACAGGUGAGAGUGCUCAGAUUAGGGCUGGAGGUCAUAAAAUAUUGGCUCCCACACCAACAGUUCCCUUGUGUUGUGCAUGCAUUCUGUGCAUUUUCCUGUGCUAAACAUUGUCCCAAAACAUCAUGGGGCCUGAUUCUUCCUCCUUGUUCCAACGGCCCUGGGUGACUCAAGUGCCCAUUCAAUGAUCAGGACUCAGAUAUCUUACAGUGAUGCCCCAUGAGGCCCCAGGUGUCAGCCACUGCCCUAUCAAAGUGUGAGGCAAGGGACAGGGCAUCAUCUGUGGGGGACAGUGGUCGGCCAGGCUUGGUGACUUUACUUGGUGGACAGAUGAUCCUACACCUGCCACCUCUGAUGGAUCCACAGCCUCUGUGCCUGUUUGUACUACUGAUACUCCAGUAGCUCCCUCAGCAUCCCAGCCUAGGCCCAAUGCCACUGAAGACAGACCUGGCCCCUGGGGACCCAGGAGUCCUACAGGACUCACUCAGCUGUCCCCAGGAGUCACCAGACCCUCAUUCUUAUCAAGGACCUAGGGCCCUACCCGCUGGCCCUCCCCAACAGCCAUAAAUGAUGAUUUGCUGCUGUUAGCACCAUUACUGUCUUUAGUGGCCAAGGAUCUUCCAAGGUGCCAGCUCUGGAAGGAAAGAUGUCCUUGGGAGGUGAUGACAUUCGAUACACAGGUGCUCAACAGGUUGCUUCCUCCUAUCCUCAGACAGUCUUUGACACAGCCAUUGACACUCACAUCGUGUGGAAAGAAACCAGCCCAGGGUCACACAGCUGGUCAUUAGCACAGCUGGUCUCAAAUCUAAGGUGCUGGCCCUGCCUCCAUGAGGGAACUGCCUGCAAGGGAGGUUGACCCGGGCUUUGAGGAGCCCUUCCUGGGCUGCAUGAAUCACCUCCCCAUUGAAGACCCCAAACUCUGCUCACAUCUUCUUCCUUGCCCUGUCUCUGCUUGGGCUAUAAUCAAGGUGACCCCAGCAACCCUUCAUGGACAUGAUGGUACUACUCCCUGCCAUUCACUUUUGGGCUAAUCUGACUUCAACACUCACUUACUUGGUCUCUCCCUUUACAACCAAGACAACCCAAAUCUGGAGCUCUUUAUGCAGUUGACAGCAUAUGAAUAGAAUUGAAUGCCAUAGUUGUGUUGUCCCUGUUUUGUUUUUGUUUUCCUUGUGUCUCAGGGUUGUUUUUCUAUUUAUGGUAAAGGCAUUGGCUUUCCAUUUGUAGCAUAAAUAGAAUAUUUGCAGUUUACAAUAACUUUAUGUCAUAGUAAAUUGUAAGGAGAUUUAAAGCAGUGGUUUUCAGCUGCGAGAGGCAUGAAUAUGUUUGAGCACACUCUGUGAUCAGGCAGAAGCAGGCCUUUGGGAGGUUUAGCUGAGGAUGGGUCCAGGAAAGAUAAUGGACAGUGUGGGUCUGACCUGGUCACCAGACCCUUGGGUCCUGCCCACCAGCUUGGCACUCCCUAGCCAUCACUUGUGAUGCUGCCAAACCCUCUGGGUAUUGUGGCCAAAUACCCCAGGAGAGAGGCUGAUGAACUUCGUCUCUUGAAAUGCACAGAUUCCUUGGACAUCCUUGGGAGCUCAACCAUGAGAAUCAACUUGGUUUUCUCCCCCUUAUUAGGGUUCAAAUUCAAAAGUCCACCUUCACGGACAGUAAAAUAAUAUAGAUAAGUGAUACCAUCACCCUGUUUCAGAUGUGAACAUGUCUUGGGGGGUUAGGGGUGAUGUGAGACCACACAACCUUAUGCCACACAGCGGAAUUCCUGGGCCAGAGGGAGACAUUCAAUUGCCAUGUUAUGAUCUUCUCACUGAGGGUAAAGGCAGUCUUGUUUCACUUUGGAUUCUUUCUUCUGUUGAUAUCUUAAGGGCACUUUGAAUUUCCAAGCAUAUAAUAAUUUUUGUUUAGCUUUUAAUCAUUGACUUCUAGCACAAUUCUGUGAUCAGAAAACUGCUGUGUGAUUGGAUUUGUCUAAAAUAUAUUGAGAUUUGCUUGAAGAACAAAACAAGUCAGGUUAAUUUUUGUAAAUGGACCAUGCAUGCUUAAAACCAGUGUAGCUCCAACAUUUGUUCCCAAGAUACAGGAUGAUGGACAGAUGGCUCCAUGGAUGUGCUGGACAUGGUUUACUAUUGGGACUUUCCACAUCCUUCUGAUGUUUUUUUGCUUAGAAUAUGAAUGGCUGAGAGGGGAUUGUGGAGCUCUGAGGGAUCUGUGGGGAUCGCUCCCGCGUGAGGCCCCUGGGAAAUGGGCCUCGCCAUACGGUGAGCUUGAGCCCGGACACAGAUCCCUGGUUGGGGGAGUCGAGCUAAGGGAAAAUAGGAACCGAGACAGGAACUAUAUGUUAUCCAAAAUAAUUAACAGACAUUACUUUAUGGAUACGAGGACUUGGGAGGCAUUGUGUCUACUUUUGGCUCCUUAUGGUUUAUUGCUUGAUUGUGUUCAUUUUGUACCCGUGUUACCUUCAUUGUAAAAUUAACUUAAAUAUUUACACUUGGUAACUUACCGUAACUUACAGGGUGUAACUGUAACUUAUUUACCAUAGCUUACAGGGCGUGACUGUAACCUACUUACCUUGACCUAUUGGGCGUAACCUACUUACUGGGUGUAGCCUACUUACUGGGCUUAACUUACUUACUGGGUGUAACUUGCUUACUGUAACUUAAGUACGUUAAUCUGGCGUAAACAACUUUAACUUCAGUAAAGUAUAUAAUGAAACACAUUGCAAAAAUAAAAUUGCUGCAUGAGCAUAGCGCAUGUAGCCCUCCAGACCUGCCUUUUCUAUCUCCUUUUUUCCGCCAAGACUGACCAUGAGAAACCCUGGGAGCUCAAGAAGGAAGGAGCUGCCAGAAGCUGCUGAACCUCCCACUCACCUUUGGAGACUAAGUUUGAACCAGAUCCUUUCCCAGAUCCCCUCCUCAAGCCCUAAGCCACCCCCACCUCUGUCCUGACCACCUGAGGGUGCCCUGAGAGGACCAGGAGUUGCGGGUGUGCCAUGGCUGCUCUUUUGGCUCCUCCUGCUGGGGUUUCCCAGCCAUCAAUCCACCCAUCCACCCGGAGUAAAUCCCAACACACGGUGAAAACCACAUUUGGAAUAUUUUAGCUGCUGGCUGUGUGGGAACUCACUUGCAUCCCCAACUUUCAACUAUAAAAAGUCAAGUAUUUAUACUGAAGAACACAGAAUUUUCAGAGAAUCCCAGGCUUCUUAAAGCACCCAGUGACUUUUCACACCUUAAAUCUGUGAAAUCCUCAAGUUUCCUUCUGCCGUAUGCGUAGCUCACACAUACAAGAUGAGGCAAAGCCAGACGCAUUCCUGAAGGGACCCAAGAAAUUCCUCUCUUUCUCUGGAACAAAAUGAAUUCUCUAGACCAUCAGUACUAAAGUUCAAAGGCCAAACCUGUCUAUACAGAUACUGUGGUUUUACAAUUGUUUACAAUUACUCCUGUCGGAAAGGACUUUAUAAAAUGGAAUCCAAUAAUGAAGUAUAGUUCAUUUGCCUUCAGCCUACAGAUUCUUUUCAUUUUCGAAGAGACUGAUGUCAGCACCAUUUUCCCUACACCUUCAGUAUUUUAGGACAGCCAGGUAGGGGUGCAUGUCUGCGGAGAAACUGAGCAAGAAUGACUGUGCUGAGCUCUGGUGCCACCAGAGGGUGUGCAAACCCACCCCUGACCAACUUCCCUCUGAGGUGCCAGAAGCAGCAAGGAUCUUCAACUUCCUCGGGGUAGCACAAGGGUCGUGUUAACUAAGUUUUGUUCAUUGAUUAUUCAUUGCUAGUGUAUACACAUAAAAUGGAUUUUUCUGCCAGGUGCGGUGGCUCACACCUGUAAUCCCAGCACUUUGGGAAGCCAAGGGAGGCAGAUCACCUGAGGUCAGGAGUAUGAGACCAGCCUAGGCAACAUGACAAAACCCAUCUCUACUAUAAAUACAAAAAUUAUCUGGGUGUGGUGGCACAUGCCUGUAAUCCCAGCUACUCAGAAGCCUGAAGCAGAAGAAUUGCUUGCAACUGGGAGAUGGAGGUGGCAGUGAGCCAAGAUCAUGCCAUUGUACUCCAGCAUGGGUGACAAGAGUAAAACUUCAUCUCAAAAAGAAAUAAUAAUAAAUAAAAUAAAAUGGAUUUUUGUAUUGGUAUUGUACUUGUAUGUUUACCCAAUUUGUUUACUAUCUCUAAUAAUUUUUUAAACAUUCCUUAGGAAUGUCUACGUAUGAGAUCAGGUGAUAAUUGAUCCUCAAAUAGUUAUUUUAUUUUCUUGCAUAAUUGCCCUACCUGUAUCUUCCAAUACACUAUUGAAUACACAAGUGAAAGUAGGUGUCUGUGCCUUGUUAUACUAUUAGGAAUAAACCUUUCAAUGGUGACAAUUGAGUAUGUUUACUGUUGGCUUUACGCUUUUUUCAUGUUUAAGAAAUGUCCUAUUUUUAGGUUUGUGUUUUUUAUCAUGAUAUGGUGUUGAACUUUGUUAGAAGCCCUUUCUGCAUCGGUUGAGAGAAUUAUGGGGUGUUUUCCAUUCAUUCUAAUAAUACAGUGUGCUACGUGGAUGGCGUUAGUGUGUGGAACCAGCAUUGAUUUUCUGGGAUAAAGAAAUCGUGUUCAUGGUGUUUGAUCCUUUCCAAAUGCUGUUGGCUUAAAUUUACUAUUAUUUUGUUGAGGAUUACUAAGUCUGCAUUUUUGAGGUUAUAGAUCUGUAGAUUUCAGUCCUUGAAAUGGCGUGACACUGUGUAGGAUGGAUCAGGAUGGGAUUGGGUAUAGAUUGCGGUAUUUACAGAGUUAGUGUGUAAGGGUAUUACAUAAUCAGGACAUAGGGCUUUACAGGCCAAGAGUUUACCAGUUAAAGAUUAUGGUAUAAGGGCUCCAAGAGAGAAGGUUCAGGUUGGUGGUUGAGAGCUCCAUAGUAGAGAUUAGAGGGAGAGAUUAGGCUGACUAAUAGGGUUAGGUUGACAGGUCAGAAUUACAGGUAAGGGUUAGGGUGAAAGUUUUAGUGAGAUUUUGGAUUGGGGUUAUAUACAGGUUAGAGUAGGUUUAGCUUAAGGUAAGGAUUAGCAUGGGUAAAGGUAACAUUAGAGUUCAUGAUUGACAGUUAAGCUUAGGUUAGAUUUAAGGGUAAUUGACAUAAGGUUAGGGUUAGGGAUUAGGAUUAAGGGUUAGCAUUAAGGUUUACAGUUUA
Molecule: non-coding RNA, 6605 nt
Organism: Callithrix jacchus (white-tufted-ear marmoset)
Lineage: Eukaryota; Metazoa; Chordata; Mammalia; Primates; Cebidae
Source: RefSeq, a predicted model, not a curated record